GCAACUGUGGGAUCAUUCGGGCGACCCCUCGAGAGGAAUCCCGGUGGAUCACGCCCUCACCGGCGUGGUGAAUCCGGAGCGGUCCCGCCACUGUGAGCUGACGUCCCACCGACGAACAGCAAGCCAGGACGUCUCGAGUCGUCCCGCCCGCC
RNAcentral lists this non-coding RNA (152 nucleotides) under Nakamurella panacisegetis. The record is from RNAcentral. Lineage: Bacteria; Bacillati; Actinomycetota; Actinomycetes; Nakamurellales; Nakamurellaceae.